This 253-nucleotide ribosomal RNA is filed under the name uncultured bacterium. RNAcentral describes it as "partial 16S ribosomal RNA". It matches the Rfam family "Bacterial small subunit ribosomal RNA", at positions 524 to 776 of the family's 1533-position model. The record is from RNAcentral.
UACGUAGGGUCCGAGCGUUGUCCGGAAUUAUUGGGCGUAAAGAGCUCGUAGGCGGUCUGUCGCGUCGGCUGUGAAAACACGGGGCUCAACUCCGUGCCUGCAGUCGAUACGGGCAGACUAGAGUUCGGUAGGGGAGACUGGAAUUCCUGGUGUAGCGGUGAAAUGCGCAGAUAUCAGGAGGAACACCGGUGGCGAAGGCGGGUCUCUGGGCCGAAACUGACGCUGAGGCACGAAAGCGUGGGGAGCAAACAGG